AGAAAAGCAGGCCUCUUGGAACUGGUGAAGCUAAUGGGCGUUUGGUUUUACUUGGAACAACUACUUCCAUGGCAGCUGCCAGUGCAUACUUCUUGUACAUCCUAAGCACAAAGUUCACUGGGGAAUUUUGUCCGUACUGUUUAGCUUCUGUCUUAUUGUCAUUUAGUUUGUUCAUCAGCAGUAUGAAGGGUUUGGGCUUUCAAGAGGUGCAAAAAGAUGUGGGUAUACAGUUACUUAUAGUUCUCUUGGUGGUUUCUACCCUAAACAAUUCAUACAGUGACUCUCAGCCUACAAACACAGGUUCUGCUCUGGCUGAGAUGGAAUACUUUACAACAGAGAUCACAUCAGAGUCUACACCUUUUGCUAUAUCCCUAGCGAAACACCUGCAUUCAAUUGGGG
RNAcentral lists this unclassified non-coding RNA (399 nucleotides) under Hevea brasiliensis (rubber tree). The record is from RNAcentral. Lineage: Eukaryota; Viridiplantae; Streptophyta; Magnoliopsida; Malpighiales; Euphorbiaceae.